This 301-nucleotide ribosomal RNA is filed under the name uncultured bacterium. RNAcentral's name for it is "partial 16S ribosomal RNA". It matches the Rfam family "Bacterial small subunit ribosomal RNA", at positions 509 to 807 of the family's 1533-position model. The record is from RNAcentral.
CAGUAGCCGCGGUAAUACGUAGGUGGCAAGCGUUGUCCGGAAUUAUUGGGCGUAAAGGGCUCGCAGGCGGUUUCUUAAGUCUGAUGUGAAAGCCCCCGGCUCAACCGGGGAGGGUCAUUGGAAACUGGGAAACUUGAGUGCAGAAGAGGAGAGUGGAAUUCCACGUGUAGCGGUGAAAUGCGUAGAGAUGUGGAGGAACACCAGUGGCGAAGGCGACUCUCUGGUCUGUAACUGACGCUGAGGAGCGAAAGCGUGGGGAGCGAACAGGAUUAGAUACCCGUGUAGUCCCUGUCUCUUAUAC